CAGCCGCCGCGGUAAUACGAAGGGUGCAAGCGUUACUCGGAAUUACUGGGCGUAAAGCGUGCGUAGGUGGUGGUUUAAGUCCGUUGUGAAAGCCCUGGGCUCAACCUGGGAAUUGCAGUGGAUACUGGGUCACUAGAGUGUGGUAGAGGAUAGUGGAAUUUCCGGUGUAGCAGUGAAAUGCGUAGAGAUCGGAAGGAACAUCUGUGGCGAAGGCGACUAUCUGGGCCAACACUGACACCGAGGCACGAAAGCGUGGGGAGCAAACAGAAUUAGAGACCCCUGUAGUCCCUGUCUCUUAUAC
RNAcentral lists this ribosomal RNA (301 nucleotides) under uncultured bacterium. RNAcentral's name for it is "partial 16S ribosomal RNA". It matches the Rfam family "Bacterial small subunit ribosomal RNA", at positions 509 to 807 of the family's 1533-position model. The record is from RNAcentral.